AGUGAACGCUGGCGGCAGGCCUAACACAUGCAAGUCGAACGGCAGCACAGUGGUAGCAAUACCAUGGGUGGCGAGUGGCGGACGGGUGAGGAAUACGUCGGAAUCUGCCUAUUUGUGGGGGAUAACGUAGGGAAACUUACGCUAAUACCGCAUACGACCUACGGGUGAAAGCGGAGGACCUUCGGCUUCGCGCAGAUAGAUGAGCCGACGUCGGAUUAGCUAGUUGGCGGGGAAAGGCCCACCAAGGCGACGAUCCGUAGCUGGUCUGAGAGGAUGAUCAGCCACACUGGAACUGAGACACGGUCCAGACUCCUACGGGAGGCAGCAGUGGGGAAUAUUGGACAAUGGGCGCAAGCCUGAUCCAGCCAUGCCGCGUGUGUGAAGAAGGCCUCGGUUGUAAG
RNAcentral lists this ribosomal RNA (401 nucleotides) under uncultured bacterium. RNAcentral's name for it is "bacterial SSU rRNA". It matches the Rfam family "Bacterial small subunit ribosomal RNA", at positions 29 to 429 of the family's 1533-position model. The record is from RNAcentral.